GUGGCGGAGAGCCUGCAAUUAGCAGGAUGCAGCACAGGUGGAGAGGACACAAAAGGAGAGAACAGCUUGCAGCAGAGGAGAAGAUCUUCAGUCAGAGACAGUCCAGAGACAGCAGUGCAGCAGAAAGGCCCUCCUGCUACUACCUACCAGCCCAGUGACCUGAGAGUCCUGUGAGACUACAUGCAGCAGACCGUGUCCGCCAACGCAGAUUCACUCAAAAAACUUUUGGACGGUGCUGGAGAGACGGGCAGACGGCUGUUGGAGUACGGGAGGAGCUAAGACGCGGACACGAGGAGGAUCGCUGGAGUGGACUGAACUGGAUUAAAGAGCCGGAUUGGACUUGAUUGGACUGGACUUUUUAUAGGGUUUUUAACCUUGUUGCUAGUAACAUUUUAUUCCUUUUAGCUUUUAGAUUAAUCAUUCAUUUUUAGACCCAUGCUAUUUUAAUUGCAAUAAAUCUGGUUUUAAAUUGA
Molecule: long non-coding RNA, 473 nt
Organism: Sebastes umbrosus (honeycomb rockfish)
Lineage: Eukaryota; Metazoa; Chordata; Actinopteri; Perciformes; Sebastidae
Exons: 2
Source: RefSeq, a predicted model, not a curated record